Molecule: unclassified non-coding RNA, 346 nt
Filed under: soil metagenome
Description: partial contains 5.8S ribosomal RNA, internal transcribed spacer 2, and large subunit ribosomal RNA
Rfam family: 5.8S ribosomal RNA (bases 1-120)
Source: RNAcentral
GAUGAAGAACGCAGCGAAAUGCGAUAAGUAAUGUGAAUUGCAGAAUUCAGUGAAUCAUCGAAUCUUUGAACGCACAUUGCGCCCGCCAGUAUUCUGGCGGGCAUGCCUGUCCGAGCGUCAUUGCUGCCCUCAAGCACGGCUUGUGUGUUGGGCCCCGUCCUCCGAUCCCGGGGGACGGGCCCGAAAGGCAGCGGCGGCACCGCGUCCGGUCCUCGAGCGUAUGGGGCUUUGUCACCCGCUCUGUAGGCCCGGCCGGCGCUUGCCGAUCAACCCAAAUUUUUAUCCAGGUUGACCUCGGAUCAGGUAGGGAUACCCGCUGAACUUAAGCAUAUCAAUAAGCGGAGGA